GUGCCAGCAGCCGCGGUAAUACGGAGGGAGCUAGCGUUGUUCGGAAUUACUGGGCGUAAAGCGCGCGUAGGCGGUCCAUCAAGUCAGAGGUGAAAGCCCGGGGCUCAACCCCGGAACUGCCUUUGAAACUGGCGGACUAGAAUCUUGGAGAGGCGAGUGGAAUUCCGAGUGUAGAGGUGAAAUUCGUAGAUAUUCGGAAGAACACCAGUGGCGAAGGCGACUCGCUGGACAAGUAUUGACGCUGAGGUGCGAAAGCGUGGGGAGCAAACAGGAUUAGAAACCCUCGUAGUCC
This 292-nucleotide ribosomal RNA is filed under the name uncultured bacterium. RNAcentral's name for it is "partial 16S ribosomal RNA". It matches the Rfam family "Bacterial small subunit ribosomal RNA", at positions 505 to 796 of the family's 1533-position model. The record is from RNAcentral.